CCUACGGGCGGCAGCAGUGAGGAAUAUUGGUCAAUGGGAGAGAUACUGAACCAGCCAAGCCGCGUGAGGGAAGACGGCACUAUGGGUUGUAAACCUCUUUUGUCAGAGAACAAAACCUGGGACGUGUCCCCGACUGCGUGUAUCCGAAGAAAAAGCAUCGGCUAACUCCGUGCCAGCAGCCGCGGUAAUACGGAGGAUGCGAGCGUUAUCCGGAUUUAUUGGGUUUAAAGGGUGCGUAGGCGGUCGGAUAAGGUAGAGGUGAAAGCCCGAGGCUCAACUUCGGAAUUGCCUCUGAUACUGUUCGGCUAGAGAGUAGGUGCGGUAGGCGGAAUGUAUGGUGUAGCGGUGAAAUGCUUAGAGAUCAUACAGAACACCGAUUGCGAAGGCAGCUUACCAAGCUACUUCUGACGUUGAGGCACGAAAGCGUGGGGAGCAAACAGGAUUAGAUACCCUGGUAGUC
This 460-nucleotide ribosomal RNA is filed under the name uncultured bacterium. RNAcentral describes it as "partial 16S ribosomal RNA". It matches the Rfam family "Bacterial small subunit ribosomal RNA", at positions 338 to 795 of the family's 1533-position model. The record is from RNAcentral.